GUGCUUGCUUUGGCAGCACAUAUACUAAAACUGGAACAAAACAGAGAAGAUUAACAUGGGUCCUGAGCAAGGAUGACAUGCAAUCCCUGCAAAGUUCUGUAUUUUA
Molecule: small nuclear RNA, 106 nt
Filed under: Microtus ochrogaster (prairie vole)
Lineage: Eukaryota; Metazoa; Chordata; Mammalia; Rodentia; Cricetidae
Source: RNAcentral